RNAcentral lists this ribosomal RNA (301 nucleotides) under uncultured bacterium. RNAcentral describes it as "partial 16S ribosomal RNA". It matches the Rfam family "Bacterial small subunit ribosomal RNA", at positions 509 to 807 of the family's 1533-position model. The record is from RNAcentral.
CAGUCGCCACGGGAAUACGAAAGGGGCUAGCGUUGCUCGGAAUUACUGGGCGUAAAGGGAGCGUAGGCGGACAUUUAAGUCAGGGGUGAAAUCCCAGAGCUCAACUCUGGAACUGCCUUUGAUACUGGGUGUCUUGAGUGUGAUAGAGGUAUGUGGAACUCCGAGUGUAGAGGUGAAAUUCGUAGAUAUUCGGAAGAACACCAGUGGCGAAGGCGACAUACUGGAUCAUUACUGACGCUGAGGCUCGAAAGCGUGGGGAGCAAACAGGAUUAGAUACCCCAGUAGUCCCUGUCUCUUAUAC